Molecule: ribosomal RNA, 460 nt
Filed under: uncultured bacterium
Lineage: Bacteria
Description: partial 16S ribosomal RNA
Rfam family: Bacterial small subunit ribosomal RNA
Source: RNAcentral
CCUACGGGUGGCAGCAGUGAGGAAUAUUCGUCAAUGGACGAAAGUCUGAACCAGCCAUGUAGCGUGAAGGAUGACUGCCCUAGGGGUUGUAAACUUCGUUUAUAUGGGAAUAAAAUGUUCCACGGAAGGGAUUUUGUAUGUACAUUAUGAAUAAGGAUCGGCUAACUCCGUGCCAGCAGCCGCGGUAAUACGGAGGGUGCGAGCGUUAUCCGGAUUUGUUUGGUUUAAAGGGAGCGUAGGUGGGUUGUUAAGUCAGUUGUGAAAGUUUGCGGCUCAACCGGAAAAUUGCAGUUGAAACUGGCAGUCUUGAGUACAGUAGAGGUGGGCGGAAUUCGUGGUGUAGCGGUGAAAUGCUUAGAUAUCACGAAGAACUCCGAUUGCGAAGGCAGCUGCCUGGACUGCAACUGACACUGAGGCUCGAAAGUGUGGGGAUCAAACAGGAUUAGAUACCCUGGUAGUC